Molecule: ribosomal RNA, 460 nt
Filed under: uncultured bacterium
Lineage: Bacteria
Description: partial 16S ribosomal RNA
Rfam family: Bacterial small subunit ribosomal RNA
Source: RNAcentral
CCUACGGGAGGCAGCAGUGAGGAAUAUUGGUCAAUGGGCGCGAGCCUGAACCAGCCAAGUCGCGUGAGGGAUGACGGUCCUACGGAUUGUAAACCUCUUUUGCCGGGGAGCAAGCGUUCGUUCGUGAACGCGCGUCGGGAGUACCCGGAGAAAAAGCAUCGGCUAACUCCGGGCCAGCAGCCGCGGUAAUACGGAGGAUGCGAUCGUUAUCAGGAGUUAUUGGGGUUAAAGGUUGGGUAGGUGGAAGUUUAAGUUAGCGGUCAAAUGUCGGUGCUCAACACCGGCCUGCCGUUGAAACUGGUCUGCUUGAGUGAGCGAGAAGUAAGCGGAAUGCGUGGUGUAGCGGUGAAAUGCAUAGAUAUCACGCAGAACGACGAUUGCGAAGGCAGCAUGCCGGCGCUAAACUGACGCUGAGGCACGAAAGCGUGGGGAUCGAACAGGAUUAGAUACCCCGGUAGUC